This 1504-nucleotide long non-coding RNA is filed under the name Ailuropoda melanoleuca (giant panda). RNAcentral describes it as "lncRNA (ENSAMEG00000027245.1)". The record is from RNAcentral. Lineage: Eukaryota; Metazoa; Chordata; Mammalia; Carnivora; Ursidae.
AUGUCAGGGUUAUUCUGUGCAGUGUCCAGGAAAGAGCCCUUGUUCCAUCUUCAUGCAUUUUAUUUUUCCAUGUACAGAAGUCUUUAUCCUGAGAGUGUCGUCAGAAGUGGGAAACGUGUGUUUACAACAGAAAAAGCUUUUCCAGAACUCGUGUCAUCACUUUUACCAAAGUGGAAGCCUGCAUGUAUAUGCUCAGAAUCGAAUACUCAAUGUUCUACUAUAUUUUUUUCUCAAGGAAGACUCUUCCAAAAUGCACAAGCUUCAGGCCCCACCCAAUCUGGAUCUGCCCUGGCUGCUGGGACCAGGAAGCUGUCCAGCUUGGACGCAGGGCCAGAAGAUCAGUGUUUAGACCACGGGAACUCAGGAUUCCUGGAACCCCAGACCACAGAGGCCCAUGCUGCUGCAGUGGCACUUGAGCUCCUGGGAGUGGGGCCCAGAGCAGAAUGAUGAGGGAACCAAGGCUCAGGACCACUCAGCUGGGAAGGGCCAGUGCUGUGCUAAGAAGGCAGGGAGGCUCCGUCUCGCCUCCCUCCGCAGCAGGGUCUCAACACAGGCCUCUGGAGGGCAGAGGACGGAGGGCUGCCAGCGCGCUAAGUGCCCGGGGUCUCACCUCAGGAUGGGUUUGCAGCCCCUGGGCCGGAGGAGGUGAGGAGCCUGGCUGCUGGCUUCUGGGGGAAGCAGAUGUAGGGGGGCAGGGGGCAGGGCGCAGGUGAGAGGCAGAGGUGACCACGCUGAGCCUCGGCACCAGCACCGCAGGAUGGCUCAGUGGGGCCCAGCACGUUCAAGGCACCAGGUGUAUGUGUGUUUCCUCACUAGCAAAGCAAGUGACAAAAUGAGCCCCCUAGUUUUUCUCUUCUCUCUGACCCGAAUGCUCCCCUGCCCCUCGUGUCAUCAGCAUGGUAGUGACCCUGGGUGUCUGUGAUGAGACCGGAGUUAUUACGUGCAGCUAAACCAUUCCAGAUUUUGUUUUCCACACCUCAAGCCCCAGGAAGCUUUCCUCCACAGAAAACACUGAAAACGAAUUUAGUUAACUCUGGACAGCUGCUAGAAAUCCAGGAGCCCUGUCUCAUCUCUGACCAGCAUUUUGGGACUUACCUGACCAUCUUGGGAAAAUGAACUCCAUGACCAAGUUGUAGACUUCUCUAGCAUUUUACCACAGAGGAUAUCCUUUGGUUAAUUUGGGCAAAUAUAAGUUUAUUUUUUCAAACUCAAAGCAAAAUGAGUUGGGCUGUCCAGCAAAUGCAGUUUGGACUAACACCUAAGCACAUGAAUACAUUUUUCUCUUAGGUCUUAAAAGCUUUUUGAUGGCAAAUCCUGAGUUUGGUUUUAAAAAGCGUGAUUAGGGGCGCCUGGGUGGCACAGCGGUUAAGUGUCUGCCUUCGGCUCAGGGCGUGAUCCCAGCGUUAUGGGAUCGAGCCCCGCAUCAGGCUCUCUUGCUAUGAGCCUGCUUCUUCCUCUCCCACUCCCCCUGCUUGUGUUCCCUCUCUCACUGGCUGUCUCUCUC